GGGGAAUAUUGGACAAUGGGCGAAAGCCUGAUCCAGCCAUGCCGCGUGUGUGAAGAAGGUCUUCGGAUUGUAAAGCACUUUAAGUUGGGAGGAAGGGCAGUAAGUUAAUACCUUGCUGUUUUGACGUUACCGACAGAAUAAGCACCGGCUAACUCUGUUCCAGCAGCCGCGGUAAUACAGAGGGUGCAAGCGUUAAUCGGAAUUACUGGGCGUAAAGCGCGCGUAGGUGGUUUGUUAAGUUGGAUGUGAAAGCCCCGGGCUCAACCUGGGAACUGCAUCCAAAACUGGCAAGCUAGAGUACGGUAGAGGGUGGUGGAAUUCCCUGUGUAGCGGUGAAAUGCGUAGAUAUAGGAAGGAACACCAGUGGCGAAGGCGACCACCUGGACUGAUACUGACACUGAGGUGCGAAAGCGUGGGGAGCAAAC
This 425-nucleotide ribosomal RNA is filed under the name uncultured bacterium. Its description in RNAcentral is "bacterial SSU rRNA". It matches the Rfam family "Bacterial small subunit ribosomal RNA", at positions 356 to 773 of the family's 1533-position model. The record is from RNAcentral.